Molecule: ribosomal RNA, 430 nt
Filed under: Bacteroidota bacterium
Lineage: Bacteria; Pseudomonadati; Bacteroidota
Description: Bacteroidetes bacterium partial 16S ribosomal RNA
Rfam family: Bacterial small subunit ribosomal RNA
Source: RNAcentral
UAGGGAAUCUUCGGCAAUGGGGGGAACCCUGACGGAGCAACGCCGCGUGAGUGAAGAAGGUUUUCGGAUCGUAAAGCCCUGUUGUUAAGGAAGAACGAGUGUGAGAAUGGAAAGUUCAUGCUGUGACGGUACUUAACCAGAAAGGGACGGCUAACUACGUGCCAGCAGCCGCGGUAAUACGUAGGUCCCGAGCGUUGUCCGGAUUUAUUGGGCGUAAAGCGAGCGCAGGCGGUCAAUUAAGUCUGAUGUGAAAGCCCCCGGCUCAACCGGGGAGGGUCAUUGGAAACUGGUUGACUUGAGUGCAGAAGAGGAGAGUGGAAUUCCAUGUGUAGCGGUGAAAUGCGUAGAUAUAUGGAGGAACACCAGUGGCGAAGGCGACUCUCUGGUCUGUAACUGACGCUGAGGCUCGAAAGCGUGGGUAGCAAACAGG